Molecule: ribosomal RNA, 254 nt
Filed under: uncultured bacterium
Lineage: Bacteria
Description: partial 16S ribosomal RNA
Rfam family: Bacterial small subunit ribosomal RNA
Source: RNAcentral
UACAGAGGAGCCAAGCGUUGUCCGGAUUGACUGGGCGUAAAGCGCACGCAGGCGGCAUCGCGCGUGGGGUGUGAAAUCUGGCCGCUUAACGGCCAGGCGCCAUCCCAUACGGCGAGGCUGGAGCGAUGCAGAGGUCGGUGGAAUUGCCGGUGUAGUGGUGAAAUGCGUAGAUACCGGGAGGAACACCCGCGGCGAAGGCGGCCCGCUGGGCCACCCCUGACGCUGAGGCACGAAAGCGUGGGGAUCAAACAGGG